This 255-nucleotide long non-coding RNA is filed under the name Lathyrus oleraceus (garden pea). Its description in RNAcentral is "Pisum sativum (pea) long non-coding RNA (PSAT_LNC035495)". Lineage: Eukaryota; Viridiplantae; Streptophyta; Magnoliopsida; Fabales; Fabaceae. The record is from RNAcentral.
UAAUCCAAACCUCAGAAACAACAGAUUCAAAACAAAAUUAAAAAUCCCAAAAUUCAAACAAACCAAAACCCUAGAUUAUAUUUGUCUAACCAAGCGACAACAAUCAACAUAUUCAAAUAAUAGUAAGUGUAGGAAGAGAAGAUGUCAACCUCUAGAGACGAGAUUCUCUCUGGUUCAUAGGUAAACAAACUCAAUUGAAACUUCUUCCUUCCCUUCUGCUUUUCCUCUAAUUCUCUCUUUCUUCUCUAACUCCUU